AACGAACGCUGGCGGCAUGCCUAACACAUGCAAGUCGAACGAAGGCUUCGGCCUUAGUGGCGCACGGGUGCGUAACGCGUGGGAAUCUGCCCUUUGGUUCGGAAUAACAGCUGGAAACGGCUGCUAAUACCGGAUGAUGACGAAAGUCCAAAGAUUUAUCGCCAGAGGAUGAGCCCGCGUUGGAUUAGGUAGUUGGUGGGGUAAAGGCCUACCAAGCCGACGAUCCAUAGCCGGUCUGAGAGGAUGAUCAGCCACACUGGGACUGAGACACGGCCCAGACUCCUACGGGAGGCAGCAGUGGGGAAUAUUGGACAAUGGGCGCAAGCCUGAUCCAGCAAUGCCGCGUGAGUGAUGAAGGCCCUAGGGUUGUAAAGCUCUUUUACCCGGGAAGAUAAUGUCUGUACCGGGAGAAUAAGCCCCGGCUAACUCCGUG
RNAcentral lists this ribosomal RNA (433 nucleotides) under uncultured bacterium. RNAcentral's name for it is "partial 16S ribosomal RNA". It matches the Rfam family "Bacterial small subunit ribosomal RNA", at positions 29 to 507 of the family's 1533-position model. The record is from RNAcentral.